RNAcentral lists this long non-coding RNA (486 nucleotides) under Coturnix japonica (Japanese quail). RNAcentral describes it as "lncRNA (ENSCJPG00005001768.1)". The record is from RNAcentral. Lineage: Eukaryota; Metazoa; Chordata; Aves; Galliformes; Phasianidae.
UCUCUUUUCACAUUGAUCUCUUCAGAAAUGUUUUCUUCUCCCUUUGUUUCUAGUAUUUUGGUAUUUCACUGGAAAGGUUUGCUUUUCCUCCUGUUUGUUCCUGAUUUCCCAGGAGCUUCUACUUGCUGAAUGAUAUCCUUGGACAAGGAGAGAGGAAGAUCUGUUCCCUAGCAUCAUGUCAAGGAAGGUGAAGCAUAAGUCACUGUUAUGGACCCAAUUUCAGGUUUUAGGUGUCUCUGUGGUAUUUUGCUGUACUUUGAAACGUGGUAUUCUCUGGGAAUAACUCCAUAUUUUUGGAAACUGUGCAUACGAUCCUCCCUCAAAAAUUACCUUCAGAUUUCCUGCUUUUCUGAAGUUGGACAUAUGUCUCUGUUAUAAAGAAAUGACGCUUGAAGAACAAUUCCUUUGAAAGUCACUGGGAAAAGAAAAGUUACCUUUCAGCAGCCUUUUGUAAGGUAUUGUUUAAAGCAAAUUCGAGUCACUGAA